UACGAAGGGGGCUAGCGUUGUUCGGAAUUACUGGGCGUAAAGCGCACGUAGGCGGCUUGUUAAGUCGGGGGUGAAAUCCCAGGGCUCAACCCUGGAACUGCCUCCGAUACUGGCAUUCUUGAGUCCGAGAGAGGUGAGUGGAAUUCCGAGUGUAGAGGUGAAAUUCGUAGAUAUUCGGAAGAACACCAGUGGCGAAGGCGGCUCACUGGCUCGGUACUGACGCUGAGGUGCGAAAGCGUGGGGAGCAAACAGG
Molecule: ribosomal RNA, 253 nt
Filed under: uncultured bacterium
Lineage: Bacteria
Description: partial 16S ribosomal RNA
Rfam family: Bacterial small subunit ribosomal RNA
Source: RNAcentral